Molecule: ribosomal RNA, 292 nt
Filed under: uncultured bacterium
Lineage: Bacteria
Description: partial 16S ribosomal RNA
Rfam family: Bacterial small subunit ribosomal RNA
Source: RNAcentral
GUGUCAGCCGCCGCGGUAAUACAGAGGUGGCUAGCGUUGUUCGGAAUUACUGGGCGUAAAGGGCGCGUAGGCGGCCCUUCAAGUCCCGCGUGAAAUCCCCCGGCUUAACCGGGGAACUGCGCGGGAAACUGUAGGGCUUGAGAUUGGGAGAGGGAAGCGGAAUUCCGGGUGUAGCGGUGAAAUGCGUAGAUAUCCGGAGGAACACCGGUGGCGAAGGCGGCUUCCUGGACCAACACUGACGCUGAGGCGCGAAAGCUAGGGGAGCAAACGGGAUUAGAUACCCGGGUAGUCC